ACUCAAAGAUUAAGCCAUGCAUGUCUAAGUAUAAGCAACUAUACGGUGUAAACUGCGAAUGGCUCAUUAAAUCAGUUAUCGUUUAUUUGAUAGUACCUUACUACAUGGAUAACCGUGGUAAUUCUAGAGCUAAUACAUGCUAAAAACCUCGACUUCGGAAGGGGUGUAUUUAUUAGAUAAAAAACCAAUGCCCUUCGGGGCUCCUUGGUGAAUCAUAAUAACUUAACGAAUCGCAUGGCCUUGCGCCGGCGAUGGUUCAUUCAAAUUUCUGCCCUAUCAACUUUCGAUGGUAGGAUAGUGGCCUACCAUGGUAUCAACGGGUAACGGGGAAUUAGGGUUCGACUCCGGAGAGGGAGCCUGAGAAACGGCUACCACAUCCAAGGAAGGCAGCAGGCGCGCAAAUUACCCAAUCCCGACACGGGGAGGUAGUGACAAUAAAUACUGAUACAGGGCUCUUUUGGGUCUUGUAAUUGGAAUGAGUACAAUUUAAAUCCCUUAACGAGGAACAAUUGGAGGGCAAGUCUGGUGCCAGCAGCCGCGGUAAUUCCAGCUCCAAUAGCGUAUAUUAAAGUUGUUGCAGUUAAAAAGCUCGUAGUUGAACCUUGGGCCUGGGUGGCCGGUCCCCCUCCCGCGUGUACUGGUCCGGCCGGGCCUUUCCUUCUGGGGAACCUCAUGCCCUUCCUGGGCG
Molecule: ribosomal RNA, 688 nt
Filed under: Mycosphaerellaceae sp. LM484
Lineage: Eukaryota; Fungi; Ascomycota; Dothideomycetes; Mycosphaerellales; Mycosphaerellaceae
Description: SSU rRNA
Rfam family: Eukaryotic small subunit ribosomal RNA
Source: RNAcentral